This 544-nucleotide long non-coding RNA is filed under the name Betta splendens (Siamese fighting fish). Its description in RNAcentral is "lncRNA (ENSBSLG00000008176.1)". Lineage: Eukaryota; Metazoa; Chordata; Actinopteri; Anabantiformes; Osphronemidae. The record is from RNAcentral.
GGUUGUGGUUGUUGGUGCCUCAGUUGGAGUUGUUGUUGGUGCCUCAGUUGGAGUUGUUGUUGGUGCCUCAGUUGUUGUGGUCGUUGCUUCUGUUGUAGUUGUUGCUUCAGUUGUGGUUGUCGUUGGUGCCUCAGUUGUAAUUGUUACUUCAGUUGUUGUAAUUGUUGCUUCUGUUGUGGUUGUCGUUGGUGCCUCAGUUAUUGUGGUCAAUGUUUCUGUUGUGGUUGUUGUUGGUGCCUCAGUUUUUGUGGUUGUUGCUUCAGUUGUGGUUCUGUUUUGUUUCUCUUCAUUUUGCUGUGGUUGUUUCUGGGUUUUUUUUCGUCUUCUAGCUUUGUUGUGGUUGUUGCUUCAGUUGUGGUUGUCGUUGGUGCCUCAGUUGUUGGGGUUGUUGCUUCAGUUGUGGUUGUUGCUUCAGUUGUGGUUGUUGGUAGUGCCUCGGUUAUUGUGGUUGUUGCUUCAGUUGUGGUUUUUGAUGGUGCCUCAGUUGUUGUGGUUGUUGCUUUCACGUUGUGUUGUUGCUUCUCAGUUGUGGUUGUUGUUGUGG